This 330-nucleotide ribosomal RNA is filed under the name Triticum aestivum (bread wheat). RNAcentral's name for it is "partial small subunit ribosomal RNA". Lineage: Eukaryota; Viridiplantae; Streptophyta; Magnoliopsida; Poales; Poaceae. The record is from RNAcentral.
AUGACUAUGAGGCCUAACGAUCAAUACCCUAUUCUGCUUUUCCUACAACAAGGACAAUCCCCUACUCUGAUGAAUCUUCCGGAGCACGUCGUUGAUGGAGGUAACCUGCUACUCAUCAGGCGCACACAUCCUCCUUUCACUUGUUCAGAUGAUGGUGUCCACUUUGAAAACAGUGAGAGAAAUCACCACACCACAUCAUUUCAGUUAGACAUACCUUAUCUUAUCACGAAACCGGGGUCUUAUCCGCGAUGCUCUGCUCUGAUAUGCUCGGAGCUCGUUGGGCUUUCUUUCAGUCGAAAUCACACCUUCUGUCCAAAGUUGCACUCAUGA